UACGUAGGGGGCAAGCGUUGUCCGGAUUUAUUGGGCGUAAAGAGCGUGUAGGCGGCCAGGUAGGUCGGUUGUGAAAACUGGAGGCUUAACCUCCAGACGUCGACCGAAACCAUCUGGCUAGAGUCCGGAAGAGGAGAGUGGAAUUCCUGGUGUAGCGGUGAAAUGCGCAGAUAUCAGGAAGAACACCCGUGGCUAAGGCGGCUCUCUAGUACGGUACUGACGCUGAGACGCGAAAGCGUGGGGAGCGAACAGG
RNAcentral lists this ribosomal RNA (253 nucleotides) under uncultured bacterium. Its description in RNAcentral is "partial 16S ribosomal RNA". It matches the Rfam family "Bacterial small subunit ribosomal RNA", at positions 524 to 776 of the family's 1533-position model. The record is from RNAcentral.